This 492-nucleotide ribosomal RNA is filed under the name uncultured bacterium. RNAcentral describes it as "bacterial SSU rRNA". It matches the Rfam family "Bacterial small subunit ribosomal RNA", at positions 29 to 520 of the family's 1533-position model. The record is from RNAcentral.
AUUGAACGCUGGCGGCAUGCUUUACACAUGCAAGUCGAACGGUAACAGGCCUUCGGGUGCUGACGAGUGGCGAACGGGUGAGUAAUGCAUCGGAACGUGCCCAAUCGUGGGGGAUAACGUAGCGAAAGUUACGCUAAUACCGCAUAAGCCCUGAGGGGGAAAGCAGGGGAUCGCAAGACCUUGCGCGAAUGGAGCGGCCGAUGUCAGAUUAGCUAGUUGGUGGGGUAAAGGCCUACCAAGGCGACGAUCUGUAACGGGUCUGAGAGGAUGAUCCGCCACACUGGGACUGAGACACGGCCCAGACUCCUACGGGAGGCAGCAGUGGGGAAUUUUGGACAAUGGGCGCAAGCCUGAUCCAGCCAUGCCGCGUGCGGGACGAAGGCCUCGGUUGUAACCGCUUUCAGCCGGAAGAAUACGCCAAGGCUAAUAUCCUUGGUGGAGUGACGGUACCGGAAGAAGAAGCACCGGCUAACUACGUGCCAGCAGCCGCGG